RNAcentral lists this ribosomal RNA (1067 nucleotides) under Bacillus amyloliquefaciens. RNAcentral's name for it is "bacterial SSU rRNA". It matches the Rfam family "Bacterial small subunit ribosomal RNA", at positions 38 to 1091 of the family's 1533-position model. The record is from RNAcentral. Lineage: Bacteria; Bacillati; Bacillota; Bacilli; Caryophanales; Bacillaceae.
UGCGGCUGCUAUAAUGCAGUCGAGCGGACAGAUGGGAGCUUGCUCCCUGAUGUUAGCGGCGGACGGGUGAGUAACACGUGGGUAACCUGCCUGUAAGACUGGGAUAACUCCGGGAAACCGGGGCUAAUACCGGAUGGUUGUCUGAACCGCAUGGUUCAGACAUAAAAGGUGGCUUCGGCUACCACUUACAGAUGGACCCGCGGCGCAUUAGCUAGUUGGUGAGGUAACGGCUCACCAAGGCGACGAUGCGUAGCCGACCUGAGAGGGUGAUCGGCCACACUGGGACUGAGACACGGCCCAGACUCCUACGGGAGGCAGCAGUAGGGAAUCUUCCGCAAUGGACGAAAGUCUGACGGAGCAACGCCGCGUGAGUGAUGAAGGUUUUCGGAUCGUAAAGCUCUGUUGUUAGGGAAGAACAAGUGCCGUUCAAAUAGGGCGGCACCUUGACGGUACCUAACCAGAAAGCCACGGCUAACUACGUGCCAGCAGCCGCGGUAAUACGUAGGUGGCAAGCGUUGUCCGGAAUUAUUGGGCGUAAAGGGCUCGCAGGCGGUUUCUUAAGUCUGAUGUGAAAGCCCCCGGCUCAACCGGGGAGGGUCAUUGGAAACUGGGGAACUUGAGUGCAGAAGAGGAGAGUGGAAUUCCACGUGUAGCGGUGAAAUGCGUAGAGAUGUGGAGGAACACCAGUGGCGAAGGCGACUCUCUGGUCUGUAACUGACGCUGAGGAGCGAAAGCGUGGGGAGCGAACAGGAUUAGAUACCCUGGUAGUCCACGCCGUAAACGAUGAGUGCUAAGUGUUAGGGGGUUUCCGCCCCUUAGUGCUGCAGCUAACGCAUUAAGCACUCCGCCUGGGGAGUACGGUCGCAAGACUGAAACUCAAAGGAAUUGACGGGGGCCCGCACAAGCGGUGGAGCAUGUGGUUUAAUUCGAAGCAACGCGAAGAACCUUACCAGGUCUUGACAUCCUCUGACAAUCCUAGAGAUAGGACGUCCCCUUCGGGGGCAGAGUGACAGGUGGUGCAUGGUUGUCGUCAGCUCGUGUCGUGAGAUGUUGGGUUAAGUCCCGCA